GAUAGAAAGCGAAGUGUUUGCUUUCCGUUUCGGCCGGGAGAUUGGUAUAAAUUACCUCUAUUU
Molecule: transfer RNA, 63 nt
Filed under: Cypridina dentata
Lineage: Eukaryota; Metazoa; Arthropoda; Ostracoda; Myodocopida; Cypridinidae
Description: tRNA-Arg
Source: RNAcentral